RNAcentral lists this unclassified non-coding RNA (504 nucleotides) under Penaeus monodon (black tiger shrimp). Its description in RNAcentral is "uncharacterized LOC119593883, transcript variant X3". Lineage: Eukaryota; Metazoa; Arthropoda; Malacostraca; Decapoda; Penaeidae. The record is from RNAcentral.
UGUAUUUUGAUUGCAUUUGCGGUGAAAAUGAACGUAGUUUUGGUGUAGUGUGAAUAUAUUGGAAUGUUGAUCCGUUAACUGGAUACGUUGAUGCGGUGGGUGUGGUUAUAUGCCUCGCAAACUCUAGAGGCGAGAUCAAGACCGGCUGAUUGUUUGUUCUCUGAGGCGCCAGAAAAGACGAAAGUGGUAGUGUCCUUCAGGGGGACGAAUCAGCAACUGAAUCAGCAACAGGUGCAGAGGAGGAAGAUGAAGAGGCUGGAGAAAAGCGGAAACGAAGGAAAAUGGAUAUAUCUUGUAAUUUCGUGUUUUUCUUUUUUAUAGCCACGCUGUUCUAUUUUCUUCCAGUUUUGAUUUGGGAUUUCUGGAAAACAUGUCAAUAAAGUACAUUUUCAAAUUUGUGUAAAUGUGUUUCAGCUAGAAGUUAGAGUACACGGCAAUUACGUGCACGACUGCUUUCAACAAUCAGAUCAGCUAAAUCCUUAUCAAUUGCUCUAUACUAAAAAA